CCUACGGGUGGCAGCAGUGGGGAAUAUUGCGCAAUGGGCGAAAGCCUGACGCAGCGACGCCGCGUGAGGGAUGAAGGUCUUCGGAUCGUAAACCUCUGUCAGCAGGGAAGAACGGUCACUGUACUAAUCAGCAGUGAAUUGACGGUACCUGCAAAGGAAGCACCGGCUAACUCCGUGCCAGCAGCCGCGGUAAUACGGAGGGUGCGAGCGUUAAUCGGAAUUACUGGGCGUAAAGCGCUCGUAGGCGGUAUGUCAAGUCAAGGGUGAAAUCCCCGGGCUCAACGUGGGAACUGCCUUUGAAACUGGCAAACUGGAGUGUGGGAGAGGAAAGUGGAAUUCCAGGUGUAGGGGUGAAAUGCGUAGAUAUCUGGAGGAACAUCAGUGGCGAAGGCGACUAUCUGGCACAUAACUGACGCUGAGGAGCGAAAGCGUGGGUAGCAAACAGGAUUAGAUACCCUGGUAGUC
RNAcentral lists this ribosomal RNA (465 nucleotides) under uncultured bacterium. RNAcentral describes it as "partial 16S ribosomal RNA". It matches the Rfam family "Bacterial small subunit ribosomal RNA", at positions 338 to 795 of the family's 1533-position model. The record is from RNAcentral.